Molecule: long non-coding RNA, 544 nt
Organism: Cicer arietinum (chickpea)
Lineage: Eukaryota; Viridiplantae; Streptophyta; Magnoliopsida; Fabales; Fabaceae
Source: RefSeq, a predicted model, not a curated record
CAUCUUACAACCACCAACAUACUCCUUCUUCCUUUUUAUUUCAAAAUUUUCUUCUUCUCUUUUCUUCCAUUUUGGAACUUCAAGGAAGCUUCCAAUCACUGAUUACCUUCAACUACAAAGUUGUUUCACUACUUGAAACGAAUGCAAAGAGCCAAGGGUCAAUAGUUGAGAGUGUGUAUGUAUACAUGUUCUUUGUGCUUGUGGUGAAUAAAGUUCUUAGAGUUUUGAGUCAUGCAAGAAUUACAACAACGUUGAAGACGUGACAAAGCGAUGAUUUUGGAUUGGCAAUCGGAAGCAAUGAGGCUUGAUGUCACCCGUGGACCCCUAGUAUCCAAUCAUCCUCAGUUAGAGUUCAAGAUCAACUUAGAGUUUUAAUUAAGGGUUUUAUUUAUUCUCCCGUCCUUAUUGCAAUGUUAUUGUUGCAAUGAAAUUUAUGUAUCUGAAAUAAUUGUGAUUUUUUUGGGUCAAUGUGAAUUGUUCGGUUGUAAGUAAGUUAUUUGUAUCGAAACCAUUUUAUAUAAUGCAACAAAAAUUCUAAUCAUCA